AUGCUGUCUGCAAUCAGAGUUGGAAAUUUCUUCGCUUGCUUUUUACAUGCAAAUUUAAACGAGUUUCAAUCACCAGCGGCCAUUGUCUACGGGCGAGCUCCACUCCCAACUCCCAGCUCUCUCUUCCAUUCUGUGUCUGUGUGUGUGUGUGUGCUCGUCACACUGUGCGUAUGAGCUAUGAAAAAGUAAUUAAAUUUAAGGGCGCAACCACUGGGCAGCCAGCUAGUUAGAGGGACUGAGUGCACUGAGCGAGACACCCUGGGAACAAGUAAAAAAGUGUCAUUAUUAACGCAUUGAACGCGAAUGCCAAACAAGCUGACAGCUGUGCCCCAACCAGGCGGGAAUGGUGUGAAUGUGUGUGUGUGUGUGUGUGUACCAAAGGAUUCAGCUGGACAUUCGAGUUGGUAGGAGACAAAGAGAGACGCAGAGUGAGAGAGAGAGAGAUAGAGCGGGAGGUGUCUCUGACUCUCGAUAGGUUUUCUCUGUUUGACGCUAUUGACACUUUGCACAGUUCACAAAUGACAUUUAUUGAAAAUUUCAUCAUUAGGCAACUGAGCGAACUUUGUCAACUUUUGCACCAUGUCAAAACUUAUUUAAAUCGACUCCUCUGACACGUGCGUGUGUGUGUGUGUGUGUGUGUGAGGAUAACUGGAGAUGUGUUGACAACCCUUGCAUUUUGUGUUUCGGAAAUCAGUUUGGCAUCAACAGCAAUUCACUGAACAGCAAAAUAUCCCCAAGGAUAUAGCCAAAUUUUCUGCUCCUCUUUUUUGUUCUCUUUCGAUUUUUGCAUAAUUUUCAAAAUGAAAAGUUCGAAGACAGUUUGAAGAUGCUGAAGCUUACAACAACAACAACAACAACAACAAUGGCAACAAUAUUUAUUCAACCCCAAAUCGAAAAAUAAACAAAAUGUAAAUAUAAUAUGCUCGCUGGCUGGAGAUGGAGAUGGAGAUGGCGAUGGAGAUGGAGAUGGAGAUGGCGAUGGAGGUGGAGAUCGAGAUAAAGAUGAAUGAGCAGCACACACAUUAGAUUCGUGUGAGAUAAGCAAAGUAGCUUUAACCAAAUUUCGAAUAUAUUUAAAUGGCCUUUAUAUAGUAUAAGAGAUGCCUUAGGCUAAGCAGAGCUUAAGGCAUCUGUAAGAAAAUUAAUUGAUUAUAAAUACUUUCCAGAUGUAUUUUUAAUAAUUUAAUUCAGCUGUGAUAAAACUUAAUAAUCAUAUACAUAUUAAAACAGAAAGAAUGUAAUAAUGAAAUAAAAUAUAAAAUAUAGUAGUAAUAAAACUUCUAGCUCAAGAGUGAAA
Long non-coding RNA from Drosophila mojavensis, 1297 nucleotides. RefSeq lists it as uncharacterized. The record is from RefSeq and is a predicted model, not a curated record. The transcript is spliced from 2 exons. Lineage: Eukaryota; Metazoa; Arthropoda; Insecta; Diptera; Drosophilidae.